Molecule: long non-coding RNA, 1256 nt
Organism: Spinacia oleracea (spinach)
Lineage: Eukaryota; Viridiplantae; Streptophyta; Magnoliopsida; Caryophyllales; Amaranthaceae
Exons: 3
Source: RefSeq, a predicted model, not a curated record
ACCUAGUAUUUUAAAAAGAAAACCAAAACUUUGUCUAUACCUAGUAUUUUAAAAAGAAAACCAAAACUUUGGCCACGUGUCUAUCCCAUUGCUCUCCCAUCCGUAUAAUUGUAAAAAUUGAAGGAAAAAAAACAUAAAAUACCCACCAUCACUCCACACCAGAGCACCGUCCAACUUCCCCAUUCUACUCCAUGCCAAACCCUUCUUCAUUUACCCUCCUUCAAUUUCAUGAGCAGUUACAACAUAUAAAUAUCUCAUCUAAUUCUUUUAUGAAUCUUUAAUUCUUGAAUCUUUAAUUGUACAAACUCUUCAAUUGAAGUAAAUUGUAAUACACUUCAAUUGGACCUCUAAAUACAUCAUCUUUAUGGAAUUCCACCUUCAAUUUGAUCCACCAUUUUCUCCCCAUCUCCUUUAAGAGCCUCCAUUUAUAAAUCAAUUCCUCCCGGAACCAUUAAUAAUUGAUUAAAUAAUGUCGGUUACACUUCGUGAUCACAAACGAUCGCUUAUAUUUGGCUCUCAUCUCUAAAUCCAAUCCUAACUCUAUUUAACACAGUAGAUACGACAACAGUAAUGCUAUGAAUGAGAGCUAGACCGAUCGAGACAGGGAUUAGGGACUGAGAAGCACAAUAGAGAAGAGGCUGUAGGGAAAGAAGGAAGAACUAAUAAUAUGUUUUUAAAAGGUUUUGUUUUCAGUUUUAGGAUUAAAUUUAUGUAUUAUUGUAUUUUAUUGUUUUUGAAUAAUGAUUUUGUGAUUAGAAUAAUAAUUUGCUAAUAAUCUUGCCACUCAUCUGCAAUGUGUACUUCGGAAAAACAAAAUACAUAUAUGUAAAUCAAUUUGGGUGUUUAAGCUUUAGAGGAUCAACUGAUAUUGUUGCAGGAAAAAUUUGAUAUAGCGUUUGGGAGACAUAAAACACGAGCAAACUUCUUAAAGAUACAACCUCAGGAUAUAAUGGUGUGAAUUUCUCGCGUCGUCAAUUCACUUAUAAUGUUAGCAUUCAGAAAUAAACAAAAUUAGCAGUUUGAUCAUACUUAUUCACCGUCAAGUAUCUUAUGGUAAUCAAACUCCUCAAUGUUAGCAUAAAGGCCUAAGGAUGGGGAAAAUAAAUUAUCUUCAUCUUUCUAUUGUAAUGUUAGGAGUUGAAUACGGAGUACGCUGUAGCAAGCUUUUGUAAAUGGGUUGUCUUCACAAUUCACCAGUUAUGUUAACCCAAUUCUUGCAUAGUCUAUUGGUAAUUUGGUACUAUUACUUUUUGCCU